Molecule: small nucleolar RNA, 136 nt
Organism: Tachyglossus aculeatus (Australian echidna)
Lineage: Eukaryota; Metazoa; Chordata; Mammalia; Monotremata; Tachyglossidae
Source: RefSeq, a predicted model, not a curated record
UCCCUCUCAGAAUCACACCUGGAGAGUUUCCGGUACCCUACUAGCCUCGGCUAAGGAAGGGAGAGUCAAGCAGAGGCGUCCAUUCCAUUUCUAGCUUGUGCAGUGGCUAGCGAGUGGAAGACAAUCUGCUACAAGU